UCUGAAUCAGCUGCAGUGGCACAGGUGAACGCAAUUUCACCUGAGUGACCGGGCCUCCUAGACCCCACUUAAAGGCUGACUCCCAGGGAGGAUGGGUCUCUAUCUGGAGAUUGCUCCUUUUGGAGCCCUUCCAUGAGCCCAGGAUACAGCUUCUAGCAACACCUUUAAUGGAAAAAUACAGAGAAAACACAAAAGACCAUUGAUGAAAAUGG
Molecule: long non-coding RNA, 212 nt
Filed under: Gallus gallus (chicken)
Lineage: Eukaryota; Metazoa; Chordata; Aves; Galliformes; Phasianidae
Source: RNAcentral